Molecule: ribosomal RNA, 504 nt
Filed under: uncultured bacterium
Lineage: Bacteria
Description: partial 16S ribosomal RNA
Rfam family: Bacterial small subunit ribosomal RNA
Source: RNAcentral
AUUGAACGCUGGCGGCAGGCCUAACACAUGCAAGUCGAACGGUAGCACAGAGAGCUUGCUCUCGGGUGACGAGUGGCGGACGGGUGAGUAACGUCUGGGAAACUGCCCGAUGGAGGGGGAUAACUACUGGAAACGGUAGCUAAUACCGCAUAACGUCGCAAGACCAAAGUGGGGGACCGUCGGGCCUCACACCAUCGGAUGGGCCCAGAUGGGAUUAGCUAGUAGGUGGGGUAAUGGCUCACCUAGGCGACGAUCCAUAGCUGGUCUGAGAGGAUGACCAGCCACACUGGAACUGAGACACGGUCCAGACUCCUACGGGAGGCAGCAGUGGGGAAUAUUGCACAAUGGGCGCAAGCCUGAUGCAGCCAUGCCGCGUGUAUGAAGAAGGCCUUCGGGUUGUAAAGUACUUUCAGCGGGGAGGAAGGCGGUGAAGUUAAUAGCUUCACCGAUUGACGUUACCCGCAGAAGAAGCACCGGCUAACUCCGUGCCAGCCGCCGCCGUAA